Non-coding RNA from Acanthosepion pharaonis, 104 nucleotides. Lineage: Eukaryota; Metazoa; Mollusca; Cephalopoda; Sepiida; Sepiidae. The record is from the annotation of a GenBank genome assembly.
UACGGCUACACCACGUUCAAACACCAGUUCCUGUAUGAUCACCGAAAUUAAGCGACAUUGAGCUUGGUCAGUACUUAGAUGGGUGACCGCUUGAGAGUUCCAAG